This 64-nucleotide transfer RNA is filed under the name marine eukaryotic metagenome. It matches the Rfam family "tRNA", at positions 6 to 65 of the family's 71-position model. From Rfam's summary of the family: Transfer RNA (tRNA) molecules are approximately 80 nucleotides in length. Their secondary structure includes four short double-helical elements and three loops (D, anti-codon, and T loops). Further hydrogen bonds mediate the characteristic L-shaped molecular structure. tRNAs have two regions of fundamental functional importance: the anti-codon, which is responsible for specific mRNA codon recognition, and the 3' end, to which the tRNAs corresponding amino acid is attached (by aminoacyl-tRNA synthetases). tRNAs cope with the degeneracy of the genetic code in two manners: having more than one tRNA (with a specific anti-codon) for a particular amino acid; and 'wobble' base-pairing, i.e. permitting non-standard base-pairing at the 3rd anti-codon position. The record is from RNAcentral.
CGUAGCUCAGUGGAUAGAGCAACGGUUUCCUAAACCGCAGGUCGCAGGUUCGAGUCCUGCCGGG